UACGGAGGUUGCGAGCGUUGUUCGGAAUGACUGGGCGUAAAGGGAGCGCAGGCGGUUUGGCAAGUCUAAAGUGGAAGCCCGGGGCUUAACCUCGGAAGUGCUUUGGAUACUGCCUGACUUGAGUUCGUGAGAGGAAAGCGGAAUUCCAGGUGUAGCGGUGAAAUGCGUAGAUAUCUGGAGGAACACCGGUGGCGAAAGCGGCUUUCUGGCACGAUACUGACGCUGAGGCUCGAAAGCAUGGGGAGCGAACAGGAUUAGAUACCCUGGUAGUCCAUGCUGUAAACGUUGUGCACUAGGUGUGGGAGGUAUCGACCCCUUCCGUGCCGCAGCUAACGCAUUAAGUGCACCGCCUGGGGAGUACGGUCGCAAGACUGAA
RNAcentral lists this ribosomal RNA (376 nucleotides) under uncultured bacterium. Its description in RNAcentral is "bacterial SSU rRNA". It matches the Rfam family "Bacterial small subunit ribosomal RNA", at positions 524 to 898 of the family's 1533-position model. The record is from RNAcentral.